GUGGGGAAUUUUGGACAAUGGGCGCAAGCCUGAUCCAGCAAUGCCGCGUGCAGGAAGAAGGCCUUCGGGUUGUAAACUGCUUUUGUACGGAACGAAAAGGCUCUGGUUAAUACCUGGGGCUCAUGACGGUACCGUAAGAAUAAGCACCGGCUAACUACGUGCCAGCAGCCGCGGUAAUACGUAGGGUGCAAGCGUUAAUCGGAAUUACUGGGCGUAACGCGUGCGCAGGCGGUUUUGUAAGACAGAGGUGAAAUCCCCGGGCUCAACCUGGGAAUUGCCUUUGUGACUGCAAGGCUGGAGUGCGGCAGAGGGGGAUGGAAUUCCGCGUGUAGCAGUGAAAUGCGUAGAUAUGCGGAGGAACACCGAUGGCGAAGACAAUCCCCUGGGCCUGCACUGACGCUCAUGCACGAAAGCGUGGGGAGCAAACAGGAUUAGAAACCCCUGUAGUCC
Molecule: ribosomal RNA, 450 nt
Filed under: uncultured bacterium
Lineage: Bacteria
Description: partial 16S ribosomal RNA
Rfam family: Bacterial small subunit ribosomal RNA
Source: RNAcentral